This 320-nucleotide ribosomal RNA is filed under the name Azotobacter sp. C5CO. RNAcentral's name for it is "bacterial SSU rRNA". The record is from RNAcentral. Lineage: Bacteria; Pseudomonadati; Pseudomonadota; Gammaproteobacteria; Pseudomonadales; Pseudomonadaceae.
CCGCGCACAGCAGUGACGCCAGAAUUNNANCUUGCUCAUUGAGGUUGCGCCCGACAGGCGACCCUGACCUGGGGAACCUGACCGUCACACUGGAAUUACUCCCGUAUACCGCGCGCUGAUACCGCGAUUAAUUGUGAACUGCAGAGGCCGAAUUUGAUUAGCGAUUUCGCCUGGCACUUGUAGAUGGACCCGAGAUAUCACUAGCUAGUUGGAGAGGAAACCGCUCCCCAUCGCGACAAAGCGAACGCCCCACCUUCCAAGCUGAACGCCCCCCCUGGACCUGAGACACGGCCCAGAGUCCUACCGGAGGCAGCAGUGGG